RNAcentral lists this ribosomal RNA (793 nucleotides) under uncultured bacterium. Its description in RNAcentral is "bacterial SSU rRNA". It matches the Rfam family "Bacterial small subunit ribosomal RNA", at positions 29 to 807 of the family's 1533-position model. The record is from RNAcentral.
AUGAACGCUAGCGACAGGCUUAACACAUGCAAGUCGAGGGGCAGCGGGAAGGUUAGCUUGCUAACCUUUGCUGGCGACCGGCGCACGGGUGAGUAACACGUAUGCAACCUGUCCGGUACAGGGGGAUAAGCGGCGGAAACGCCGUCUAAUACCGCGUGACAACCCGAGGGGGCAUCCCCUUGGGUUCAAAGGAGAGAUCCGGUACCGGCUGGGCAUGCGGCGCAUUAGCUAGUUGGCGGGGCAACGGCCCACCAAGGCGACGAUGCGUAGGGGUUCUGAGAGGAAGGUCCCCCACACUGGAACUGAGACACGGUCCAGACUCCUACGGGAGGCAGCAGUGAGGAAUAUUGGUCAAUGGGCGCAAGCCUGAACCAGCCAAGUCGCGUGAGGGAAGACGGCCCUACGGGUUGUAAACCUCUUUUGCCGGGGAGCAAGCCUGAGCACGUGUGCCCAGGCGGAGAGUACCCGGAGAAAAAGCAUCGGCUAACUCCGUGCCAGCAGCCGCGGUAAUACGGAGGAUGCGAGCGUUAUCCGGAUUUAUUGGGUUUAAAGGGUGCGCAGGCGGGCUGUUAAGCCGGCGGUAAAAAUUCAGGGCUCAACCCUGUCGAGCCGUCGGAACUGGCAGUCUUGAGUGGGCGAGAAGUAUGCGGAAUGCGUGGUGUAGCGGUGAAAUGCAUAGAUAUCACGCAGAACGCCGAUUGCGAAGGCAGCAUACCGGCGCCCAACUGACGCUGAGGCACGAAAGCGUGGGGAUCGAACAGGAUUAGAUACCCUGGUAGUCCACGCAGUAAAC